This 468-nucleotide ribosomal RNA is filed under the name uncultured bacterium. RNAcentral's name for it is "bacterial SSU rRNA". It matches the Rfam family "Bacterial small subunit ribosomal RNA", at positions 28 to 507 of the family's 1533-position model. The record is from RNAcentral.
GAUGAACGCUGGCGGCGUGCAUAACACAUUCAAGUCGAACGGAGUAAAGGAGAGCUUGCUCGAAUUUACUUAGUGGCGAACGGGUGAGUAACGCGUGAGGAACCUGCCUUUCAGUGGGGGACAACAGUUGGAAACGACUGCUAAUACCGCAUGAUACUAUCGGGCCGCAUGGUCUGAUAGUCAAAGAUUUAUUGCUGAAAGAUGGUCUCGCGUCUGAUUAGCUAGUUGGUGAGGUAACGGCUCACCAAGGCGACGAUCAGUAGCCGGUCUGAGAGGAUGAACGGCCACAUUGGGACUGAGAUACGGCCCAGACUCCUACGGGAGGCAGCAGUGGGGAAUAUUGGGCAAUGGGCGAAAGCCUGACCCAGCAACGCCGCGUGAAGGAAGAAGGCCUUCGGGUUGUAAACUUCUUUUACCAGGACGAAGAACGUGACGGUACCUGGAGAAAAAGCAACGGNUAACUACGUG